This 73-nucleotide transfer RNA is filed under the name Ovis aries (sheep). It matches the Rfam family "tRNA". From Rfam's summary of the family: Transfer RNA (tRNA) molecules are approximately 80 nucleotides in length. Their secondary structure includes four short double-helical elements and three loops (D, anti-codon, and T loops). Further hydrogen bonds mediate the characteristic L-shaped molecular structure. tRNAs have two regions of fundamental functional importance: the anti-codon, which is responsible for specific mRNA codon recognition, and the 3' end, to which the tRNAs corresponding amino acid is attached (by aminoacyl-tRNA synthetases). tRNAs cope with the degeneracy of the genetic code in two manners: having more than one tRNA (with a specific anti-codon) for a particular amino acid; and 'wobble' base-pairing, i.e. permitting non-standard base-pairing at the 3rd anti-codon position. The record is from Rfam by way of RNAcentral. Lineage: Eukaryota; Metazoa; Chordata; Mammalia; Artiodactyla; Bovidae.
UCCCUGAUGGUCCGGUGGUCAGGACUCUGCACUUUUAUUGCCAAAGGUGCAGGUUCAGUCCCUGGUUGGGGAA